AUGGCCUGGACGGUGCUUCUGCUCGGGCUGCUGGGUUACGGACCAUGGGUGGAUGCUCAGACUGUGGUCCAGGAACCGUCACUGUCAGUGUCUCCAGGAGGGACGGUCACCCUGAUCUGUGGCCUCAGCUCUGGGUCAGUCACUACCAGUAACUACCCAGGCUGGUACCAGCAGACCCCAGCCCAGGCUUCCCAACUGCUUAUCUACAGCACAAACAGCCAAUAUUCUGGGGUCCCUGAUCGCUUCUCUGGCUCCUACUCUGGGAACAAAGCCGCCCUCACCAUCACGGGGGCCCAUUCUGAGGACGAUGCCGACUAUUACUGUGGUCUGGGAACUAGUAGUUACAAUAUCGUGGUGAUGUAA
Cervus elaphus (red deer) is the source of this 363-nucleotide non-coding RNA. The record is from the annotation of a RefSeq genome assembly. Lineage: Eukaryota; Metazoa; Chordata; Mammalia; Artiodactyla; Cervidae.